UACGUAGGGGGCUAGCGUUGUCCGGAAUCAUUGGGCGUAAAGAGCGUGUAGGCGGCCCGGUAAGUCCGCUGUGAAAGUCCAGGGCUCAACCCUGGGAUGCCGGUGGAUACUGUCGGGCUCGAGUCCGGAAGAGGCGAGUGGAAUCCUGGUGUAGCGGUGAAAUGCGCAGAUAUCAGGAGGAACACCAAUGGCGAAGGCAGCUCGCUGGGACGUGACUGACGCUGAGACGCGAAAGCGUGGGGAGCAAACAGGA
RNAcentral lists this ribosomal RNA (253 nucleotides) under uncultured bacterium. RNAcentral's name for it is "partial 16S ribosomal RNA". It matches the Rfam family "Bacterial small subunit ribosomal RNA", at positions 524 to 777 of the family's 1533-position model. The record is from RNAcentral.